GUGGGGAAUAUUGGACAAUGGGCGAAAGCCUGAUCCAGCCAUGCCGCGUGUGUGAAGAAGGUCUUCGGAUUGUAAAGCACUUUAAGUUGGGAGGAAGGGCAGUAAGUUAAUACCUUGCUGUUUUGACGUUACCGACAGAAUAAGCACCGGCUAACUUCGUGCCAGCAGCCGCGGUAAUACGAAGGGUGCAAGCGUUAAUCGGAAUUACUGGGCGUAAAGCGCGCGUAGGUGGUUUUGUAAAUUGGAGGUGAAAUCCCCGGGCUCAACCUGGGAACUGCCUCCAAAACUGCAUGACUAGAGUACGGUAGAGGGUAGUGGAAUUUCCUGUGUAGCGGUGAAAUGCGUAGAUAUAGGAAGGAACACCAGUGGCGAAGGCGACUACCUGGACUGAUACUGACACUGAGGUGCGAAAGCGUGGGGAGCAAACAGGAUUAGAUACCCGAGUAGUCC
Molecule: ribosomal RNA, 450 nt
Filed under: uncultured bacterium
Lineage: Bacteria
Description: partial 16S ribosomal RNA
Rfam family: Bacterial small subunit ribosomal RNA
Source: RNAcentral